RNAcentral lists this ribosomal RNA (819 nucleotides) under uncultured bacterium. RNAcentral's name for it is "bacterial SSU rRNA". It matches the Rfam family "Bacterial small subunit ribosomal RNA", at positions 144 to 973 of the family's 1533-position model. The record is from RNAcentral.
UAGCCUUUAGAAAUGAAGAUUAACACCCCAUAAUAUAUUUAGGCCGCAUGUCUUUAUAUUAAAGGUUACGGUACAAGAUGAGUAUGCGUCCUAUUAGCUAGUUGGUAUGGUAACGGCAUACCAAGGCAACGAUAGGUAGGGGCCCUGAGAGGGGGAUCCCCCACACUGGUACUGAGACACGGACCAGACUCCUACGGGAGGCAGCAGUGAGGAAUAUUGGACAAUGGGGGGAACCCUGAUCCAGCCAUGCCGCGUGCAGGAAGACUGCCCUAUGGGUUGUAAACUGCUUUUGUACGGGAAGAAACCGCUCUACGCGUAGAGCCUUGACGGUACCGUAAGAAUAAGCAUCGGCUAACUCCGUGCCAGCAGCCGCGGUAAUACGGAGGAUGCAAGCGUUAUCCGGAAUCAUUGGGUUUAAAGGGUCCGUAGUGGGCCGGUCAGUCAGAGGUGAAAUCCUGCAGCUCAACUGUAGAACUGCCUUUGAUACUGCCGGUCUUGAAUCGUUGUGAAGUGGUUAGAAUAUGUAGUGUAGCGGUGAAAUGCAUAGAUAUUACAUAGAAUACCGAUUGCGAAGCAGAUCACUAACAGCGUAUUGACACUGAUGGACGAAAGCGUAGGUAGCGAACGGGAUUAGAUACCCCGGUAGUCUACGCCGUAAACGAUGGAUACUAGCUGUCCGGCUUCGGCUGGGUGGCUAAGCGAAAGUGAUAAGUAUCCCACCUGGGGAGUACGUUCGCAAGAAUGAAACUCAAGGAAUUGACGGGGGCCCGCACAAGCGUGGAGCAUGUGGUUUAAUUCGAUGAUACGCGAGGAACCUUA